Molecule: ribosomal RNA, 252 nt
Filed under: uncultured bacterium
Lineage: Bacteria
Description: partial 16S ribosomal RNA
Rfam family: Bacterial small subunit ribosomal RNA
Source: RNAcentral
GAUCCUGGCUCAGGAUGAACGCUAGCUACAGGCUUAACACAUGCAAGUCGAGGGGCAUCAGGAAGAAAGCUUGCUUUCUUUGCUGGCGACCGGCGCACGGGUGAGUAACACGUAUCCAACCUAGCCCUUUACCUUCGGGGAGUAGCCUUUCGUAAGAAAGAUUAAUACCGAUGGCAUAAUGAUUCCGCAUGGUUUCAUUAUUAAAGGAUUCCGGUAAAGGAUGGGAUGCGUUCCAUUAGGUUGUUGGUGAGG